RNAcentral lists this unclassified non-coding RNA (419 nucleotides) under fungal sp. Its description in RNAcentral is "partial internal transcribed spacer region". The stretch from base 1 to 46 matches the Rfam family "Eukaryotic small subunit ribosomal RNA", at positions 1786 to 1831 of the family's 1831-position model. The record is from RNAcentral. Lineage: Eukaryota; Fungi.
AAGUCGUAACAAGGUUUCCGUAGGUGAACCUGCGGAAGGAUCAUUAACACGUAUCCACGUAUCAACCAACUGUGAACUUGUUCUCACUUCUCCCUAGACUGUUAACCAGGUAGAGUAGGUUAGAGAGAUUCUAUGAUUGGAUUCAUCUUGUAUGAAUCAAUCUCUCUUUCUUCAGUUGAAUUUAGAUUCGUCUAUAUCAACUCGCUUAGCUACAGUCAGGCUUACUUCUGCUAUUGCAUUGGACACUCAUAGCAAUGUGAUAGUAGAGAUUAUUACAUAUUAACCUAUUUCACACCCUUAUUGCUAGUUGACUUAUCUAUGUUGUCUGUUCUGUGUAAUUGAUUUUACACUGUAACUGUACACACUUACAUUAUUGUAAUGUUAAUCAACAACUCUUAGCAAUGGAUAUCUAGGUUCUC